ACAACGGCCUUUUUCAAGGCCAUUUCUGUUGACACAAGAUGGCCCU
Non-coding RNA from Macaca mulatta (Rhesus monkey), 46 nucleotides. The record is from Rfam. Lineage: Eukaryota; Metazoa; Chordata; Mammalia; Primates; Cercopithecidae.